RNAcentral lists this long non-coding RNA (3777 nucleotides) under Nicotiana tabacum (common tobacco). Its description in RNAcentral is "long non-coding RNA (NTAB_LNC008253)". The record is from RNAcentral. Lineage: Eukaryota; Viridiplantae; Streptophyta; Magnoliopsida; Solanales; Solanaceae.
AAAUUUCCCUUAAUUAAAAUAUCUAGACAUUGACCUAUAAGACAUAAGAUCCUUAGACCUCCCUUUCCAUAGAGCAGCGGCGCAAAAGAGAGGACCAUCUCUAGUUUUCCCUUCAGCAGCGAUUUUCCCCAUCUUGCUCCUUCAUUUUUUCCAUCAUCUUCAACAGAAGAACAACAUAUGAAGACCCUUUCCCUUUUAGAUUAGAGAACAACAGACACUCCUCUCUUCUUCAACAAAGAAUCAGAUCCCCCCGUUUAGCAAGAAAAAUCGGGUCCCCUCACCUUCAAAAAAAAAAAGAGACCAUCGGACCCCCCAUUUCCCAAACACACACGAAAAUCACACUAAAACCUGCUGGAAAAUUUGGAUUUCAGAUUCGAAAAUUCGAAGUUAUUCUCAAAGUUCAAAAAUAAUUGAAGCAAAAUCGAUUCUCUGGGCUUGUUAAUGAGUUUCGUCGCUAUCAAGUUUCGGCUCGUUUGUCACUGGUCUUGUUGUUGUUCUGUUGUCCCAGCUAUGUUGAUGAGUUCUGCCUUCAUUUGGUUAUUUUGUGGUCUUCAUUUGGCUUUUGAGGUAUGACCUCAAUUUCAGUCAUGUAAUUGUACUGCUGGAUGUUCUGAGUGAUAUGAAACCUGCUUAUAUAUUCUUCAUCUCAAUACUUUGUCAGACUAUUUUACUUGGUUAACCAUGUAAUCAGCACAUUAAUAUUAAAUGCUUGGUGAAGUUGGUCUUUGGAGUAUGCAGUAGAUCUCCGUAGCCCCUUAUGAAAAAUGAACAAGAUUUUCCAAUUCAUUGUCACACCUUGUUCUAACUUGAUUGCCUUUAGGUAUUUGCGGUGCAAUCUAAACUUUUUUUGUAUAGUGUGUCGAAUAUAUGCUUGUGUUGUUUAUCCAAUUGGAAAUCUGGUCAUGCAUUAAAAUUGCCCGUGUGGAUAGAUGUUUAGUGUACUGCGUCAAGAUAUGUUGAGCAUGUUUGGCUGGCUAUUUUGGAAUUUGGAAGGAUGAGUAAUUUGGACCUCUUAUUGUCCGAAAAUAAGGGAUAGAUACAUAUGUAAAGGAGUUUUCUCUAAAACUAUAUUAAGGAGUUCCAUUUGAGAGGACCAAUGCCUCUAAAGGUUUGUUUUGGUAUGUUUAUUCGUUUGGCAUUUAAGUUUUCCAAUUGAAUUAAUCUCAUCAGAGAAGUAAAAAAGGGCACAUGUAUUUGAGUCAAAUUUAUGUGAAAUUUUCUUUAGUUGUUAUAUGCUUUGUUUUUUAGAGAAUCAGUUGAAAAUCGAGUUUCACUUGUUUAAAUUUACUUCUUGCCUAGUUGAUUUUCUUAUUGGAUAGUAAGUUAGAAGAUUUUUUGUAGGUAUAAUGGGCAGUAGGAAGAUUUACAACUCCAUAUAAUUCAUAGCCUUGCAAUAAUCUCAAUUUUAGGAAAAUAAUCAUGAACAUCCGUAGUUCGCUUUAGUUGAGUACAAUCUUUUAAAAUAAAUUGAGGCAUGUCAUCCACAAAUGAAUUCUAUAAUCCAUGGCUCUCACAUAAAUACAAAACUAGUGUAGAAAACACUUUGAACAUUCGUAGUUUGCUUUAGGCACGUUUACAAUAAAAUUAUUGUGACAAUGGGUACGGUUCCUGUGACAUAGUUAUGAUAACUAAUCCCCAAAAUCGGGUGUGCAUUUCAUGUGACCCGAUCGUAACAACUUCGAAUAUUAAUAAAAAUAAACAUGUCGUGAAUCGCGGGUGCAUUUCAUGUAGCGUGAUUUGCGGUGUGUUCCAAAAUAAAUAAGUGUACAAUCGUAACUUGUUCAAUAAAUAAAUCCAUAAAUUCUAAAAGUCGUUAAAUUAAUUAAAAGCGGUUAUGAAGCUAUAAAUGCAUAAGAGGUUUAAAAUAUGUAGUAAAUCAGAUAAUAGGCCAAAUAUUAAUAGUUUAAGCGAUUGUGCUAGAACCACGGAACUCGAGAAUGCCUAACACCUUCUCUCGGGUUAACAGAAUUCCUUACUUAGAAUUUCUGGUUCGCAGACUUAUAAAGUAAAUUCGAAAUUUCCUCGAUUUGGGAUUUUAAAAUAAACCGGUGACUUGGGACACCAUAAACUAUCCCAAGUGGCGACUUUGAAAAAUAAAUAAAAUAAUUUCAUUUUGAAUAAUGUCACUUUAAUUGGAAAAAAUUCUUAUAUCCCCCUCGGGUGGUAAAAAAGGAGGUGUGACAGUAACAGCUGGAUAGAAAUAUGAAAUUUUGAGGGUUUAGUUUCAAAAGUUGAAAAUUCAAUUUGGAGCUCAGGAGAGGGCGAUUUUGAGAGGAAAUUGAAGAGCAGAUCAUUGGGUAACAAUUCUUUAACCCUUUCUAGUUAUAUUCCAUCAAUCUAUAGUUAAUUUCAUCAUUUAAUUUCGGAUUGGAGAUGAAAAUUGGGUAUUCUGAAAAUAUAAAUUUUACCCGAUUCUGAGAUGUGGGCCCGAGGGGCGUUUUGGUCAUUUUUCCUAAAUUCGCGUAUUAGCUUAGAAUUUCUUUGUAGAAGCAGUUACUUGAAGUGUUAUUUAUAUUAUGCAAUUGAAUUGAAUAUAUUUGGGCCAUUUGGAGUCGAGUACUCGUGGCAAGAGCAUGGUUUCGGAUUGAUUUGAGCUGGUUCGAGGUAAGUGGCUUGUCUAACCUUGUGUGUGGAACCGUGCCCUUAGGAUUUGGUAUAUUUGGUAAUUGAAAUGCCUUGUACGUGAGGUGACGAGUACGUACUUGUGCUAAUUGUUGGAAAUCCGGUUUUCAUUAAGUAAUUACUAGUAUGUUUCCUUUCCUGUUUUUAUUACUUGCACUAUUAAGCAUGUUGUUAGCUUAGGAAAGCAUGUCUAAGUGAUUUAAUUGCUUUAUUUGCUCAAACUGCCUUACCUAAAUUCUAUGCAGCAUGCUAGGCUAGAAUCACUUGUUUGCCUUAAUAUGAAAUUUGCCAUUUAUGUAUAUUUUCCCGUUGCUGCUGUGUAUUUACAUAGGGACUACGGAUAUGGGAUUCCGGUAGCUCCCCCUGUCGGUUUAUUUUGGGACUAUGGAUGUGGGAUUCCGAUAGACCCCCCUGCACAGUUAUAUGGAACUACUGGAAUGCACCCGGUAGAUUCCUCCAGUACUGGGUAUUUAUAUUUGGGGCUACGAAACGGGAUUCCGGUAGAUCCCCACGUACUUUGAGUUGGAUUACGGGAAGGGAUCCCGGGAGAUCCAUUGGAUAUGUAUAUUUGGGACUACUGGACGAUAUCCUGGGAGAUCCCCGAUUGUUGUUUUUGUACUGAGCCGUAUUUCUUUCUGUAUACUUUGCCUCUGUAAUAGUUGUUGCUGUCCUUUAUAUCUUGUGUUACCUUUACUGCUGUACUUAUUUAUAUUGUUCUGUUCUACACUGUCGAACUUUAUAUUUUAUUUAACCUCAGUAGGGCCCUGACCUUCCUCAUCACUACUCAACCGAUGUUAGGCUUGACACUUAUUGAGUACCGCUGUGGUGUACUCAUGCCCUUUGUGCGCAUGUUUUUCAUGUGCCGAUCCAGGUACCUUGACUCAAACUUACCAUCCUUGAGGUGAGGCGACUGUUCGGAGACUUCGAGGUAUAUCUGUCGCGUCCGCAGACCGAGGAGUCUCUCUCCACUCUCUUAUAGUUAUCGCCCUUCUGUAUUUAGAGCACUAUAUAGUGAUCCUUAGCUUGUGAUUCAUGGGUUUCCGGGUCUUGGAGAUAUGUAUUGAUUUUUGAGAGUUAAAUAUUAUGUAUGCCGAGCGACACUUUUAAACACUGUCUUAUUACUCUAAUUCUAUUUUAAAUUGUUUUACUUCCUCA